GCAGUGUGUCAGAUAUAAAUAUCAAAAACAACCUGAUUAUUCAAGGACAUCAGAAAACCUUCAGUGUGUAAGCAGGGAUCAUUUGUAUUAGAGGUUUUCUUGCCAGAUGCCCUUCCUGAUGCAACCCUGCCAUUUUAUUCAAGCUUUGGGCCGACACCAAGAGUUAACCCCUCACUGGUUGGGUUGGUUCUUUGCCUGGGAAUCAAACCUGGGCGAGAGCUCGGGAUCCUGCCACUGGACCACCAGAGUAAUUGAUGGAGGACGAUGGGAUGACAUCUGGCCUGUGCCAAGCAGCUAAAGGAGGAAGAAACAGUUUGUGAAGCAUCUGCAGUCUCCAGCAGCCACAAGUCACGCCGCCUUUUCUAAAGAAUAAAAUGGCAGCAAUUAAAAAGCCAUUCGCAUUCCACGUAGGCGAGCUUUACUUACAUCACAGUCAAUCAACGUGGCGUCCGUAUCCUCCAGCACUGUUGACUGGAGGAUAAUGUGAAUUUCUCAAAGUUAGAGCAGACAUUUCAUCUAUUUGCAUAUUAACACUAAUUUCACAGUUAGGAACAUUAACUUUUUCAUUUGGGCUCUGACAUUGAUUUUUACAGUCAGUUACAGCGUUUGUUUUGCAUCAUGGUUCUCCAACCGUUAUGCAGAAUUCAUUCCCAGAGCCACUACACAAUGAGCUUUAUUUUGUCGUUGUUGUUUUUGUUUUGUUUCUGUGUACUGUAUUUAAUUAAACCACAUUAAUUCUGCAUUCCAUCAACAUGAACUAAUGAUUAUUGGGUUCAGAAUGCAUUUACGUUUAAAUUUGUCAUCUUCAGGUAAACAAACAAUGAAACAAUAGAUUUGUAAUCCUACCUGAGCUAAUUAUGUCUCGGUUAAUCUAAUUAAAAUGUUGACUUGAAUGUGGUUUUUAAACUGGCUUUCAAGGGUUUGAGU
Molecule: long non-coding RNA, 927 nt
Organism: Hemibagrus wyckioides
Lineage: Eukaryota; Metazoa; Chordata; Actinopteri; Siluriformes; Bagridae
Exons: 3
Source: RefSeq, a predicted model, not a curated record